RNAcentral lists this unclassified non-coding RNA (343 nucleotides) under soil metagenome. Its description in RNAcentral is "partial contains 5.8S ribosomal RNA, internal transcribed spacer 2, and large subunit ribosomal RNA". The stretch from base 1 to 120 matches the Rfam family "5.8S ribosomal RNA", at positions 35 to 154 of the family's 154-position model. The record is from RNAcentral.
GAUGAAGAACGUAGCGAAAUGCGAUAAGUAAUGUGAAUUGCAGAAUUCAGUGAAUCAUCGAAUAUUUGAACGCACAUUGCGCCCGCUAGUAUUCUGGCGGGCAUGCCUGUCCGAGCGUCAUUUCAACCCUCAAGCCCCCGGGCUUGGUGUUGGGGAUCGGCGAGCCUCCGCGCCCGCCGUCCCCUAAAUCUAGUGGCGGUCUCGCUGUAGCUUCCUCUGCGUAGUAGCACACCUCGCACUGGGAAACAGCGCGGCCACGCCGUUAAACCCCCAACUUCUGAACGUUUGACCUCGGAUCAGGUAGGAAUACCCGCUGAACUUAAGCAUAUCAAUAAGCGGAGGA